UCAAAUUCUGGCCUGUAAUCUUUUUAAUAUUUUUUAAAAAAUGAAACACUACAGCUUGCAGUGAGUUUCAUGCUGGGUCUGUCUGAGUUGGAGAAACUUACAGUAAGGUUGGAGUGCAAAGAUCUUUGCAGCACAAUGCUACUCUACUGUUUUAUAGCCCCCGUACAGUAGGCAUAUGCUCAUAAGAAUAUGAGCAGUGUCAUUGACUUCAGUGGACAUUACUCAUGUGCUUAGAGUCACACUUGCUUAAGUGCUUUGCUGCAUUAGUGGGGGGCUUUUUGUUUGGUUUGGGGUUUUUUGUGAAUGAACUUCUAAUAUAGAUGCUUAAAGUCAUCUAAGAAUAGUUAUGGGUGUGGAACAGUGAGCGCUGCAAUUAACUGCUCCCACCAAAUGGGAAAAUUGCUGAAAGUGGGUUGGGCAUGUUUCUUUAAAUAAUUCCCCUCAUCCCUAUUGUGAAUGCUGUAUUAACUUUUCUACUAAUUUUCCCUAUUCUUUCUCCCCCAAAUGGGAGCCAAAGGAAGCUGCAGCCAGAAGGAAUCACAGGCAGUUCAGCUCCAUUGGAGUCCUGGAAGACUGCAUUAUUCAGUGGCAGUUGCAAAAAGGAGGGACAAGAGAUUACCUUAACAAAUGCCCUUUGGAACUUUGGCCUGUCUUGAUGUAACUUUGAAGGUAUGAGAAAACUGACAUGAAGAGAUUGCAGAACGUGACUGGAUGUUGCACAGUGAGCAGCUUGCAAUAAACUGCUCCUAGAAGACCCAGAAUCUAGCUACGUUCAUUCUCUGUGUUCAUGGAACCUUCUAUUUCCCACCUUUCAUCUUUCUCAGCCAUCUCUGCCAUCAACCUGAAUGCUGAGACACACAAGCCUUGUCUACAUUGGCAAGUUUCUGCGCAGUAAAGCAGCUUUCUGUGGUGUAACUCCCGAGGUGUACAUGCUGCCAAGCCACUUAGUGUGCAGAAACUGUGCAGCUGAAGUGCUGUAAAUAAAGCACCCCGAUGAGAGGCAUACAGCUUUCUCUGCUGGGGAUACAGUGCUGUGGUGCCAGUGUAGACCCCCAGUCGAUUACAGCGCUGCGACUGGCCUCUAGUAGGUGUCCCACAAUGCCUAUUCUCGCCUCUCCGGUCAUCAGUUUGAACUCUACUGCCCUCCCUUCAGGUGACCAACCAUCAGCCCCACCCCUUAAAUUCUUUGGGAAUUUUGCAAG
Molecule: long non-coding RNA, 1202 nt
Organism: Dermochelys coriacea (leatherback sea turtle)
Lineage: Eukaryota; Metazoa; Chordata; Testudines; Dermochelyidae
Exons: 3
Source: RefSeq, a predicted model, not a curated record